UACGAAGGGGGCUAGCGUUGCUCGGAAUUACUGGGCGUAAAGGGCGCGUAGGCGGGUCGUUUAGUUAGAGGUGAAAGCCCAGGGCUCAACCCUGGAAUUGCCUUUAAUACUGGCGGCCUUGAGUAUGGUAGAGGUGUGUGGAACUCCGAGUGUAGAGGUGAAAUUCGUAGAUAUUCGGAAGAACACCAGUGGCGAAGGCGACACACUGGGCCAUUACUGACGCUGAGGCGCGAAAGCGUGGGGAGCAAACAGG
RNAcentral lists this ribosomal RNA (253 nucleotides) under uncultured bacterium. RNAcentral describes it as "partial 16S ribosomal RNA". It matches the Rfam family "Bacterial small subunit ribosomal RNA", at positions 524 to 776 of the family's 1533-position model. The record is from RNAcentral.